This 430-nucleotide ribosomal RNA is filed under the name uncultured bacterium. RNAcentral describes it as "partial 16S ribosomal RNA". It matches the Rfam family "Bacterial small subunit ribosomal RNA", at positions 29 to 506 of the family's 1533-position model. The record is from RNAcentral.
AACGAACGCUGGCGGCAGGCUUAACACAUGCAAGUCGAACGCCCCGCCAGGGGAGUGGCAGACGGGUGAGUACCGCGUGGGAAUCUACCCAUCCCUACGGAAUAACGCAUGGAAACGUGUGCUAAUACCGUAUACGCCCUACGGGGGAAAGAUUUAUCGGGGAUGGAUGAGCCCGCGUUGGAUUAGCUAGUUGGUGGGGUAAAGGCCUACCAAGGCGACGAUCCAUAGCUGGUCUGAGAGGAUGAUCAGCCACAUUGGGACUGAGACACGGCCCAAAUUCCGACGGAUGGGCGCAGGCGGGAAGAUGGGACACCGGGCGCAAGACGAAUCCCGCCGUGUCGCAGGAGUGAUGAAGGAGUUAGGGUUGUAAAGCUCUUUAACCGGAGACGAUAAGAAGGGUAUCAGGAGAAGAAGCCCCGGUAAAUUUCGU